GAGAUCGGGAUAACACCUGGAAACAGAUGCUAAUACCGGAUAACAACAGAUGAUGCCUAUCAACUGUUUAAAAGAUGGUUCUGCUAUCACUCUUGGAUGGACCUGCGGUGCAUUAGCUAGUUGGUAGGGUAACGGCCUACCAAGGCGAUGAUGCAUAGCCGAGUUGAGAGACUGAUCGGCCACAUUAGGACUGAGACACGGCCCAAACUCCUACGGGAGGCAGCAGAC
RNAcentral lists this ribosomal RNA (228 nucleotides) under uncultured Lactobacillus sp. Its description in RNAcentral is "partial 16S ribosomal RNA". It matches the Rfam family "Bacterial small subunit ribosomal RNA", at positions 134 to 354 of the family's 1533-position model. The record is from RNAcentral. Lineage: Bacteria; Bacillati; Bacillota; Bacilli; Lactobacillales; Lactobacillaceae.